This 468-nucleotide ribosomal RNA is filed under the name uncultured bacterium. RNAcentral describes it as "partial 16S ribosomal RNA". It matches the Rfam family "Bacterial small subunit ribosomal RNA", at positions 28 to 507 of the family's 1533-position model. The record is from RNAcentral.
GACGAACGCUGGCGGCGUGCUUAACACAUGCAAGUCGAACGGAAAGGCCCUGCUUUUGUGUGGUGCUCGAGUGGCGAACGGGUGAGUAACACGUGAGUAACCUGCCCUUGACUUUGGGAUAACUUCAGGAAACUGGGGCUAAUACCGGAUAGGAGCUCCUGCUGCAUGGUGGGGGUUGGAAAGUUUCGGCGGUUGGGGAUGGACUCGGGGCUUAUCAGCUUGUUGGUGGGGUAGUGGCUUACCAAGGUUUUGACGGGUAGCCGGCCUGGGAGGGUGACCGGCCACAUUGGGACUGAGAUACGGCCCAGACUCCUACGGGAGGCAGCAGUGGGGAAUAUUGCACAAUGGGCGGAAGCCUGAGGCAGCAACGCCGCGUGCGGGAUGACGGCCUUCGGGUUGUAAACCGCUUUCGCCUGUGACGAAGCGUGAGUGACGGUAAUGGGUAAAGAAGCACCGGCUAACUACGUG